AGUAUCUUCGGAUAUGACUAGAGCGGCGGACGGGUGAGUAACGCGUAGGAAUCUACCUAGUAGAAGGGGAUAGCCCGGGGAAACCCGGAUUAAUACCGUAUACCUCCUUCGGGAGAAAGAAGGCCUCUCUUUGAAGCUUUCGCUAUUAGAUGAGCCUGCGUAAGAUUAGCCUGUUGGUGAGGUAAAGGCUCACCAAGGCGACGAUCUUUAGCUGGUCUGAGAGGACGAUCAGCCACAUUGGGACUGAGACACGGCCCAGACUCCUACGGGAGGCAGCAGUGGGGAAUAUUGGACAAUGGGCGCAAGCCUGAUCCAGCCAUACCGCGUGUGUGAAGAAGGCCUUCGGGUUGUAAAGCACUUUAAGCAGGGAGAAAAAGUUAUAAGUUAAUACCUUAUAACCGUGAUGUUACCUG
This 413-nucleotide ribosomal RNA is filed under the name uncultured bacterium. Its description in RNAcentral is "bacterial SSU rRNA". It matches the Rfam family "Bacterial small subunit ribosomal RNA", at positions 73 to 481 of the family's 1533-position model. The record is from RNAcentral.